GGGCCCACUCGGCCGUUUGGCGGGAGGGAGGGGCUUUGCGCAGGCCCCGCUCCCGCCCCGCCUCCAUGCGGCCCGCCCCGAUUGCGCUGUGGCUGCGCCUGGUCUUGGCCCUGGCCCUCGUCCGCCCCCGGGCUGUGGGGUGGGCCCCUGUCCGAGCCCCCAUCUAUGUCAGCAGCUGGGCCGUCCGGGUGUCCCAGGGUAACCGGGAGGUCGAGCACCUGGCACGCAAAUUCGGCUUCGUCAACCUGGGGCCGGUGGGUGGGACCGGGAUGGACGGGAAGUUGGGGCUUGGAGGGGACUGGACGACCCUAGACCCCAACAAGUGGGAGGGAGCCCACAAGGUCUCCUAAAUAUCAAGAACCCCAGCCCACCCCUGCCUCAGCCAAGCUCAGCCUCUGGGACUCCCAGAGAGCACCUGCUGGGGAAGGACAAAGAAGGGGGCUGUUACCGGCCCUCGGGGGCUCCAGCAGGGGAGCCGGGUCCCAUCGGUGCGGCCGCUUCCCCACAUCCCCAGAUCUUCCCUGACGGGCAGUACUUUCACCUGCGGCACCGGGGCGUGGUCCAGCAGUCCCUGACCCCGCACUGGGGCCACCGCCUGCACCUGAAGAAAAACCCCAAGGUGCAGUGGUUCCAGCAGCAGACGCUGCAGCGGCGGGUGAAGCGCUCUGUGGUGGUGCCCACAGACCCCUGGUUCUCCAAGCAGUGGUACAUGAACAGCGAGGCCCAACCAGACCUGAGUGUCCUGCAGGCCUGGAGUCACGGGCUGUCAGGCCAGGGCAUCGUGGUCUCUGUGCUGGAUGACGGCAUCGAGAAGGACCACCCGGACCUCUGGGCCAACUACGACCCCCUGGCCAGCUACGACUUUAAUGACUACGACCCGGACCCCCAGCCCCGCUACACCCCCAGCAAAGAGAACCGGUGUGCGGAUGCUGGACGGUACCAUCACCGAUGUCAUCGAGGCCCAGUCGCUGAGCCUGCAGCCGCAGCACAUCCACAUUUACAGCGCCAGCUGGGGUCCCGAGGACGACGGCCGCACGGUGGACGGCCCCGGCAUCCUCACCCGUGAGGCCUUCCGGCGUGGCGUGACCAAGGUGAGUGGCAGCCUGAGGAGGGCAGGGGUGGCAGGCCAGGCCGACACCCUCUCCCCGCCCCUCCUGGUUUCCCAGGGCCGCGGCGGGCUGGGCACGCUCUUCAUCUGGGCCUCGGGCAACGGCGGCCUGCACUACGACAACUGCAACUGCGACGGCUACACCAACAGCAUCCAUACGCUCUCCGUGGGCAGCACCACCCAGCAGGGCCGCGUGCCCUGGUACAGCGAAGCCUGUGCCUCCACCCUCACCACCACCUACAGCAGCGGCGUGGCCACCGACCCCCAGAUCGUCACCACGGACCUGCAUCACCGGUGCACGGACCAGCACACGGGCACCUCGGCCUCAGCCCCACUGGCAGCCGGCAUGAUCGCCCUAGCGCUGGAGGCCAAGUAGGUGACUGUGGGGCCCCGCCCACCGCCCUCGCCCCCAGGCGCGGCCCAGCGGCUCACCCGCCCCCGCCCCCCGCAGCCCGUUCCUGUCGUGGAGAGACAUGCAGCACCUGGUGGUCCGCGCGUCCAAGCCGGCGCACCUGCAGGCAGAAGACUGGAGGACCAACGGCGUGGGGCGCCAAGGUGCGGCGGGGCCGGGCGGGGGCGGGGACCCCGGGCCCACGGGGCGAGUGACUGCUGCCCUUCCGCGCAGUGAGCCAUCACUACGGCUACGGGCUGCUGGACGCCGGGCUGCUGGUGGACACCGCCCGCACCUGGCUGCCCACCCAACCGCAGAGGAAGUGUGCCGUCCGGGUCCAGAACCGCCCCACCCCCAUCCUGCCGCUGAUCUACAUCAGGAAAAAUGUAUCGGCCUGCGCCGGCCUCCACAACUCCAUCCGCUCGCUGGAGCACGUGCAGGCGCAGCUGACGCUGUCCUACAGCCGGCGCGGAGACCUGGAGAUCUCGCUCACCAGCCCCAUGGGCACGCGCUCCACACUAGUGGCCAUACGGGACGUUGUACCGCUACACGCUGCUGCUCUAUGGGACGGCCGAGGACAUGACAGCACGGCCUACAGGCCCCCAGGUGACCAGCAGCGCGUGUGUGCAGCGGGACACAGAGGGGCUGUGCCAGGCGUGUGAUGGCCCCGCCUACAUCCUGGGACAGUUCUGCCUGGCCUACUGCCCGCCGCGGUUCUUCAACCACACAAGGCUUGUGACCGCCAGGCCUGGGCACAUGGCGGCGCCCGCGCUGAGGGUCUGCUCCAGCUGCCACGCCUCCUGCUACACCUGCCGCGGCGGCUCCCCGAGGGACUGCACCUCCUGUCCCCCGUCCUCCACGCUGGACCAGCAGCAGGGCUCCUGCGUGGGACCCACCACCCCCGACAGCCGCCCCUGGCUUAGAGCUGCCUCCUGUCCCCACCACCGCUGCCCAGCCCUGGCCAUGGUGCUGGGCCUCCUGGCCAUGACCCUCGGAGGCCCCGUCCUCUGCGGCAUGUCCAUGGACCUCCCACUAUACGCCUGGCUCUUCCGUGCCAGGGCCACCCCCGCCAAACCCCAGGUCCGGCUGCCAGCUGGAACCCGAAGUUGUCAGCUCAGAAAGCGACCUUGCCCCCGCCUGGGUCCCUGACAGGCACUGCUGCCAUGCUGCCUCCCCAGGCUGGCCCCAGAGGAGGGAGCACCAGCCCCCGACGCCUGGCCUGCCAGGGGUGGGCCCCAUGGAAUCCCGCAGCCUGGCGGGAGAGAGAGAGAGAAGUCUCCUCUGCAUUUUGGGUUUGGGUGGGAGUGGGCUGUGGGGAGAGGCUGGAGCACCCCAAAAGCCAGGGGAAAGUGGAGGGAGAGAAACGUGACACUGUCCGUCUCGGGCACCGCGUCCAACCUCAGAGUUUGCAAAUAAAGGUUGCAUAGAAGGUG
This 2932-nucleotide small RNA is filed under the name Pongo abelii (Sumatran orangutan). RNAcentral describes it as "retained intron". Lineage: Eukaryota; Metazoa; Chordata; Mammalia; Primates; Hominidae. The record is from RNAcentral.